RNAcentral lists this ribosomal RNA (253 nucleotides) under uncultured bacterium. RNAcentral's name for it is "partial 16S ribosomal RNA". It matches the Rfam family "Bacterial small subunit ribosomal RNA", at positions 524 to 776 of the family's 1533-position model. The record is from RNAcentral.
UACGUAGGGUGCAAGCGUUAAUCGGAAUUACUGGGCGUAAAGCGUGCGCAGGCGGCUUUGCAAGACAGAUGUGAAAUCCCCGGGCUUAACCUGGGAACUGCAUUUGUGACUGCAUGGCUAGAGUGCGGCAGAGGGGGAUGGAAUUCCGCGUGUAGAAGUGAAAUGCGUAGAUAUGCGGAGGAACACCGAUGGCGAAGGCAAUCCCCUGGGCCUGCACUGACGCUCAUGCACGAAAGCGUGGGGAGCAAACAGG